GUUUCGUUGGUGCAGUGGUAGCAUGCCCUCUUAGGGUUGAAUUACGUAAUUCAGCUUUGGGGGUGGUCCUCGGUUCAAUCCCGGGACGAGACC
This 93-nucleotide transfer RNA is filed under the name Cryptococcus neoformans. RNAcentral describes it as "tRNA-Pro". The record is from RNAcentral. Lineage: Eukaryota; Fungi; Basidiomycota; Tremellomycetes; Tremellales; Cryptococcaceae. RNAcentral also lists the same sequence under 1 other name.